GGACUUGCACAAGCGGUGGAGUAUGUGGUUUAAUUCGAUGCAACGCGAAAAAUCUUACCAGAAUUUAUUUGUCUCAAUUUAGAUUGAAGUAAAGGAGUUUUUGUUUAAAAUGAUUUGGUGGUGCAUGGCUGUCGUCAGUUCGUGUUGUGAGAUGUUGGGUUAAGUCCCGCAACGAGCGCAACCCACGUCUUUAGUUGCCAGCAUUUAGUUGGGCACUCUAGAGAGACUGCCGGUGAUAAACCGGAGGAAGGUGUGGAUGACGUCAAGUCAUCAUGCCCCUUACAUCCUGGGCUACACACGUACUACAAUGCUACGGACAAAGGGCAGCAAGUUCGCGAGGACAAGCAAAUCCCAUAAACCGUGGCUCAGUUCAGAUCGUAGGCUGCAACUCGCCUACGUGAAGGCGGAAUCGCUAGUAAUCG
This 422-nucleotide ribosomal RNA is filed under the name uncultured bacterium. RNAcentral describes it as "bacterial SSU rRNA". It matches the Rfam family "Bacterial small subunit ribosomal RNA", at positions 917 to 1344 of the family's 1533-position model. The record is from RNAcentral.